This 899-nucleotide ribosomal RNA is filed under the name uncultured Planctomycetaceae bacterium. RNAcentral's name for it is "bacterial SSU rRNA". It matches the Rfam family "Bacterial small subunit ribosomal RNA", at positions 8 to 916 of the family's 1533-position model. The record is from RNAcentral. Lineage: Bacteria; Pseudomonadati; Planctomycetota; Planctomycetia; Planctomycetales; Planctomycetaceae.
AGAGUUUGAUCCUGGCUCAGAACGAACGUUGGCGGCGUGGAUUAGGCAUGCAAGUCGAACGAAUCCCAGGGGCUUGCUCCUGGGGGAAGUGGCGAAAGGGGCAGUAAGGCAUGGGUAACCUACCUCGGGGACGGGGAUAGCCUUCCUAACGGAUGGGUAAUACCUGGCGAUCUGGCGAGGAGACAUCUUCUUACCAGGAAAUGAAUUUCGCCUCGAGAGGGGCCCAUGUGGUAUUAGCUUGUUGGUGAGGUAACGGCUCACCAAGGCCAAGAUGCCUAGCAGGUGUGAGAGCACGACCUGCGCCACUGGCACUGUGACACUGGCCAGACUCCUACGGGAGGCUGCAGUCGAGGAUCUUCGGCAAUGGGCGCAAGCCUGACCGAGCGACGCCGCGUGUGCGAUGAAGGCCUUCGGGUUGUAAAGCACUGUCGAGGGGGAGGAAGCCCGCAAGGGUUGACUAAUCCCUGGAGGAAGCACGGGCUAAGUUCGUGCCAGCAGCCGCGGUAAGACGAACCGUGCGAACGUUGUUCGGAAUCACUGGGCAUAAAGGGCGCGUAGGCGGGUCAUCAAGUCCGUGGUGAAAGCCCUCAGCUUAACUGGGGAAGUGCUUCGGAUACUGAUGGUCUCGAGUGGGGUAGGGGCAUGCGGAACUUCCGGUGGAGCGGUGAAAUGCGUAGAUAUCGGAAGGAACGCCGGUGGCGAAAGCGGCGUGCUGGACCCCAACUGACGCUGAGGCGCGAAAGCCAGGGGAGCAAACGGGAUUAGAUACCCCGGUAGUCCUGGCCCUAAACGAUGGGUACUAGAUUGUGGACUUGACAUGGGUUCACAGUCGGAGCAAAUGUGUUAAGUACCCCGCCUGGGGAGUAUGGUCGCAAGGCUGAAACUUAAAGGAAUGACGG